Molecule: ribosomal RNA, 253 nt
Filed under: uncultured bacterium
Lineage: Bacteria
Description: partial 16S ribosomal RNA
Rfam family: Bacterial small subunit ribosomal RNA
Source: RNAcentral
UACGUAGGGUGCAGGCGUUAAUCGGAAUUACUGGGCGUAAAGCGUUCGCAGGCGGUCUUUUAAGUCAGAUGUGAAAUCCCCGGGCUUAACCUGGGAACUGCGUUUGAAACUGGAAGGCUUGAGUGUGGCAGAGGGGGGUGGAAUUCCACGUGUAGCAGUGAAAUGCGUAGAGAUGUGGAGGAACACCGAUGGCGAAGGCAGCCCCCUGGGCUAACACUGACGCUCAUGCACGAAAGCGUGGGGAGCAAACAGG